This 504-nucleotide ribosomal RNA is filed under the name uncultured bacterium. RNAcentral describes it as "bacterial SSU rRNA". It matches the Rfam family "Bacterial small subunit ribosomal RNA", at positions 29 to 511 of the family's 1533-position model. The record is from RNAcentral.
AGCGAACGUUAGCGGCGGGCCUAACACAUGCAAGUCGAACGCGAAAGGUCUUCGGACUGAGUAGAGUGGCGCACGGGUGAGUAACACGUAGGUAAUCUACCCUUUGGCGGGGGAUAACGUUCCGAAAGGAGCGCUAAUACCGCAUAAGACCACGGAGUCUCCGGACGCUGUGGGAAAAGGUGGCCUCUUCUUGAAAGCUAUCACCGAAGGAUGAGCCUGCGUCCCAUCAGCUAGUUGGUAAGGUAAUGGCUUACCAAGGCGAAGACGGGUAGCUGGUUUGAGAGAAUGAUCAGCCACACUGGCACUGGAACACGGGCCAGACUCCUACGGGAGGCAGCAGUGAGGAAUAUGGGCAAUGGGCGAAAGCCUGACCCAGCCACGCCGCGUGAGUGAUGAAGGCCCUCGGGUCGUAAAGCUCUGUGGAGAGGGACGAAAACCCUGGUUUCAAAUAGGCUCCAGGCUUGACGGUACCUCUUUAGCAAGCACCGGCUAACUCUGUGCCAG